AGGUGGCAUUAUAUCUCACUCUUUUGAAUUGGAGGCCAAGAUGAAAGGACUGUUUAGUGGUGCAACAGCUGUUAUUACAUUUCGCUUUCCCUCAAAGGCUGCUCUGCAGGAGAGUGUUGAUGCUUUUAUCAGCAGUGUUGUGAAAAACAUAGGAUUCAGCUAGGGAAAGCACGUUGCCUGUUUGAUCAGAAUAUGGAAGGACCAGUCACAUAUACAAUUGUUAUACUUUCGAUGAGAAUACUCCACUUGUUGAUGAUCCAGAGUACAUCUCUGCAUUGGGUGAAACAAUAUUCAAGGGACUGCAAAGCAGAGAUAAGGAUGGGGUCUGGCUAAUGCAGGAGAGAGAUCUUUUUGCAGUUCGGUGAUGGACCAAGAGAGAUGAUAUAUUGUUCUUAUUUCAGAUUAAAAAAGAGUGAAAUGAGUCUCCUGUAGGGUUGUUUACAAUA
Long non-coding RNA from Rosa rugosa (rugosa rose), 446 nucleotides. RefSeq lists it as uncharacterized. NCBI's taxonomy places the organism in Eukaryota, Viridiplantae, Streptophyta, Magnoliopsida, Rosales, Rosaceae. The transcript is spliced from 4 exons. The record is from RefSeq and is a predicted model, not a curated record.